This 429-nucleotide ribosomal RNA is filed under the name Chloroflexota bacterium. RNAcentral's name for it is "Chloroflexi bacterium partial 16S ribosomal RNA". It matches the Rfam family "Bacterial small subunit ribosomal RNA", at positions 355 to 776 of the family's 1533-position model. The record is from RNAcentral. Lineage: Bacteria; Bacillati; Chloroflexota.
UGGGGAAUAUUGCACAAUGGGCGCAAGCCUGAUGCAGCCAUGCCGCGUGUAUGAAGAAGGCCUUCGGGUUGUAAAGUACUUUCAGCGGGGAGGAAGGGAGUAAAGUUAAUACCUUUGCUCAUUGACGUUACCCGCAGAAGAAGCACCGGCUAACUCCGUGCCAGCAGCCGCGGUAAUACGGAGGGUGCAAGCGUUAAUCGGAAUUACUGGGCGUAAAGCGCACGCAGGCGGUUUGUUAAGUCAGAUGUGAAAUCCUCGGGCUCAACCUGGGAACUGCAUCUGAUACUGGCAAGCUUGAGUCUCGUAGAGGGGGGUAGAAUUCCAGGUGUAGCGGUGAAAUGCGUAGAGAUCUGGAGGAAUACCGGUGGCGAAGGCGGCCCCCUGGGCGAAGACUGACGCUCAGGUGCGAAAGCGUGGGGAGCAAACAGG